Bombus pyrosoma is the source of this 2701-nucleotide long non-coding RNA. RefSeq lists it as uncharacterized. The transcript has 3 exons. NCBI's taxonomy places the organism in Eukaryota, Metazoa, Arthropoda, Insecta, Hymenoptera, Apidae. The record is from RefSeq and is a predicted model, not a curated record.
GCCAACUGGUUCUGGCGCUACCAUCGGUGUACAGUGUACAUAUUGAUCUUCCGUGGCGGUCUUUUUGAAUCUUCUUAAGUCACGUAGGUCUCAGAAUUAUUAAACACCGCCGAUAGAAUUGAUUCUUUCGAAAUAACGACAUCGAUAUCGCAUUGAAUAUGAUUUGACGCUGUUCCCGGCUGACUAGCCGUGCGAACGAGUGCUCACGAUUAACGACGAUCUGUCUCUGUUUUAUUAUUUAUAUUCAACAGCCUAAAAGGGAUAAUGAUUGACACGAAAUAUCUUUCUUGUAUGAAUAGAACGUAUAUAUUACGUUCCGUCUGUAGUCGCGGUAACGGAGCAAGUAAUCAUCGUUACAUCGGUAUCUCGAUAAAGACGAUCAGAGUGUCGCGAUGGUUGAUCGUUUGAUUCUUGGUAGCCAGUGUCUAAGCUCGAAUCGCCAUAGAAUUCGAUCGACCUACUACUAUUGGGUUACUAACUAACUAAGUGAUUGCGGAUUUUGUUAUUAGCUGGUAUUGACAAAAUCCCCGAUCACUUAAUUACCCAAUACGAUAUGUAUAAUAUAUCGCGACGCAUCGGAGCAUAUACCGUGCCUCGUUUUAUAAAUUAUCAUGCAUUUUUAUUAACGGUGGCUCGUGUUGCACUUAUUUAUAUACAUAACUGCGAUAUUGAUAGCAGAGUUAACCGGCUGACCGUCGCGCGUCACAUUAUAUUAUCAAAAAUGUAAGAAAAAAGAUACGACUCCCUUUGCUUUACAUACGUAAACAAGCAUCGUUAUCAUACUGGAUUUCGUCGAUGUGCUAAUCAGAUUCGGUGAGCGAGAAAUGUUUAUUUCACUGUGGCUACACCGGUUUACGAUUAUAUGAGGGGCUAAUCGAUUAAAUCUUCGCGAGAAGAGUAAACGAAGGCGGAAGAAUCUCAUAGUACGCGUAUUUGUGCGCGAAAGGAUCGGAACUAUUAUAAAUAAGCUUGGCUUGUAUUUCUGGGACGUUCUAUUUGCGUAUAUUUACGUUUAUCCUUAUGGACAUAUUCUUAUGCGAUAUGCGAUAUGCGAUAUGCGAGCCUCUGUUGGGGGAAAGAUGCGUGUGCACUCGGAACCGCGUCUACGAUGUCCGCGAUGAUACAUAAACGAUGUAACGGUCAUGCGCCGCCUGCCUCUCUAUAUGGAUCUAGGUGUAUUCGUUCAGAAUUGAAAAUUCCAACUGCCAGAACACGUGCUUAACGGAACGACCGAAGGGACGUCCCCGUCUCAACCUCUGACGUCGCGUCGAGCCGUGUCGCGCCGCGUCCGGUUCCGCCUUUCCUUUAAAUAUACAGAAUACAACGUAUUCACGAUCACGUAUAAUUUAAUCGACGAUGUUAUUUCUAGUUAACGUUUAGAGUCAGGAUGGCGAUAUUCGCCUAUCUUCGUCAAACUUUCAGCAAGAUUAACAACACCUAGUUCUUCUCCUCGCUUAUUCUCGCUAUUCUCGGGCCAUGAAUUAUCAUGUCUGUUGCGUUCAUUUAGCGGGUUCUAAAGUUUAUAUACUAGGAUGUUGCUCUUUGGUGUUCGUUUUUCAGUGGGUCUACACACAUGCCCCGAAGGCCCAAACAUGUAUUACCAUAAUUUAAAGUUUAAAGUCUCGUAGAGAAAAACGGAGAAGGAGAAGGAGAAGGAGAAGAAGAAGGAGAAGGAGAAGGAGAAGGAGAAGGAGAAGGAGAAGGAGAAAAGUGGUAGUUUUGCGAAGGAACUCGUUCAAGGGUUGUGAAAUUCUCAUGUCGCGGAGCAAAAUUUUAUGCGAGAAAGUAUGCUGGCGCUCUGUCGGUUUAAUGUGGCCGCGAGAGGUGCAGAAAUGAGAAAGCCUUUGACUGAAAAUGUUGCGUUUACAUAAUGAAAUUUGUUGGCGAGAAUUUAACGACGGCUCCCCUGGCCGGAUGGUAAGAACCUUUUUGUUGGCCAUUGCGGUAUCGUGAACAACGUGCGGUUCGUGGUUAGACGCGGAUGCAACCAAAGAAUCACAAACGGAUUUGCUUUCCAUCCCAAGAGCUGUCUGUUUUGUCUUACCUUCCUAUUCCUUCUAUACGCUUUCCUCUGUACGGUUUACUCUUUUGUUUCUUAUCCUCGCGCGAACGAGGUUCGACCAAUGGUAAAAUGCAUUUUUUAAAUUUAUAUCUUUUUAAAUUAUAUCCUUUUCGAAACGCGAUCAGUCCGAUUCUCUUACAAGUUUACCAAGUCUACCGGCCCGUUCAUCUGUUUUCUCGGUUUCAAGAUACGAGUUCGUAUAUUAUAUUAUCCGUUAACGUUCUCUUAAGUAUUAAAUCGACGUAUGUAUUAGUAGUAUUACAUAGAGUAUAUAUACACGUUCGGUUUUUGAUCAAACGAUUUUAAACAACUUGACUUUUAGUUUGUGUUUACGCUGGUUAACGUAGCAAUUUUUCUUCCUUUAGAGCUAUACUAGUAAAAUAAUAGAUCUGCAUUGAUAAAGUGAUUUGCAGUUUGUUGAACGUAAGAUCGUUUGAAUUCAGGUAACGUAACUCUCGGCGAAGCUUUAGGAAGAGGGGAAAGACUGUAACGUUAUUACGCGAGGCACAAUUUCCAUUUACUUAAAUUAUAAUAUUUUACCAAAUGUCCUAAUGGACAAAUUGUAAAAUGUAAACAAACAAUAAAUAAAUAAAAAAAAAAAUUUCUAUUUGCUUUGUUCUGGCAGUUCUCUCAGUUUCU